This 238-nucleotide unclassified non-coding RNA is filed under the name uncultured fungus. RNAcentral's name for it is "partial contains 5.8S ribosomal RNA, internal transcribed spacer 2, and large subunit ribosomal RNA". Lineage: Eukaryota; Fungi. The record is from RNAcentral.
AACGCACAUUGCGCCCCUUGGUAUUCCGAGGGGCAUGCCCGUUCGAGCGUCAUCAAACUCUCAAGCCCAGCUUGGUCUUGGGUGCGGCCCACCGGGGCCCUCCCCCAACUUGUUGGGCGGACCGUCCCAGCCUCAAGCGUAGCAGGAAACCCCUCGCUUCGUUGCUUUGGACGGCCCGCCCGGGAACCAGCCUUUAAAGUUUGGCCUCGGAUCGGGUAGGGAUACCCGCUGAACUUAA